AGUCGAGCGGAGCACAUCAUUGGAAUCCUUCGGGAGGAAGAGGAUGUGGCUUAGCGGCGGACGGGUGAGUAACGCGUGGACAACCUGCCCUAUGCAGGGGGAUAACAUCCGGAAACGGGUGCUAAUACCGCAUAAGCGCACAGUACCGCAUGGUACAGUGUGAAAAGCUGAGGCGGCAUAGGAUGGGUCCGCGUUGGAUUAGGCAGUUGGCGGGGUAACGGCCCACCAAACCGACGAUCCAUAGCCGGCCUGAGAGGGUGGACGGCCACAUUGGGACUGAGACACGGCCCAGACUCCUACGGGAGGCAGCAGUGGGGAAUAUUGCACAAUGGGGGGAACCCUGAUGCAGCGACGCCGCGUGGGUGAGGAAGUACUUCGGUAUGUAAAGCCCUAUCAGCAGGGAAGAAAAUGACGGUACCUGACUAAGAAGCCCCGGCUAACUACGUGCCAGCAGCCGCGGUAAUACGUAGGGGGCAAGCGUUAUCCGGAUUUACUGGGUGUAAAGGGAGCGUAGACGGCGUGCCAAGUCUGAUGUGAAAGGCCGGGGCUCAACCCCGGGACUGCAUUGGAAACUGGCAUGCUAGAGUGCCGGAGGGGCAAGCGGAAUUCCUAGUGUAGCGGUGAAAUGCGUAGAUAUUAGGAGGAACACCGGUGGCGAAGGCGGCUUGCUGGACGGUAACUGACGUUGAGGCUCGAAAGCGUGGGG
This 706-nucleotide ribosomal RNA is filed under the name uncultured bacterium. RNAcentral describes it as "bacterial SSU rRNA". It matches the Rfam family "Bacterial small subunit ribosomal RNA", at positions 60 to 766 of the family's 1533-position model. The record is from RNAcentral.